AUUGAACGCUGGCGGCAGGCCUAACACAUGCAAGUCGAGCGGUAGCACAGAGAGCUUGCUCUCGGGUGACGAGCGGCGGACGGGUGAGUAAUGUCUGGGAAACUGCCUGAUGGAGGGGGAUAACUACUGGAAACGGUAGCUAAUACCGCAUAACGUCGCAAGACCAAAGUGGGGGACCUUCGGGCCUCAUGCCAUCAGAUGUGCCCAGAUGGGAUUAGCUAGUAGGUGGGGUAACGGCUUACCUAGGCGACGAUCCCUAGCUGGUCUGAGAGGAUGACCAGCCACACUGGAACUGAGACACGGUCCAGACUCCUACGGGAGGCAGCAGUGGGGAAUAUUGCACAAUGGGCGCAAGCCUGAUGCAGCCAUGCCGCGUGUGUGAAGAAGGCCUUCGGGUUGUAAAGCACUUUCAGCGGGGAGGAAGGCGGUGAGGUUAAUAACCUCAUCGAUUGACGUUACCCGCAGAAGAAGCACCGGCUAACUCCGUGCCAGCAGCCGCGGUAAUACGGAGGGUGCAAGCGUUAAUCGGAAUUACUGGGCGUAAAGCGCACGCAGGCGGUCUGUCAAGUCGGAUGUGAAAUCCCCGGGCUCAACCUGGGAACUGCAUUCGAAACUGGCAGGCUGGAGUCUUGUAGAGGGGGGUAGAAUUCCAGGUGUAGCGGUGAAAUGCGUAGAGAUCUGGAGGAAUACCGGUGGCGAAGGCGGCCCCCUGGACAAAGACUGACGCUCAGGUACGAAAGCGUGGGGAGCAAACAGGAUUAGAUACCCUGGUAGUCCACGCCGUAAACGAUGUCGAUUUGGAGGUUGUGCCCUUGAGGCGUGGCUUCCGGAGCUAACGCGUUAAAUCGACCGCCUGGGGAGUACGGCCGCAAGGUUAAAACUCAAAUGAAUUGACGGGGGCCCGCACAAGCGGUGGAGCAUGUGGUUUAAUUCGAUGCAACGCGAAGAACCUUACCUGGUCUUGACAUCCACAGAACUUUCCAGAGAUGGAUUGGUGCCUUCGGGAACCGUGAGACAGGUGCUGCAUGGCUGUCGUCAGCUCGUGUUGUGAAAUGUUGGGUUAAGUCCCGCAACGAGCGCAACCCUUAUCCUUUGUUGCCAGCGGUCCGGCCGGGAACUCAAAGGAGACUGCCAGUGAUAAACUGGAGGAAGGUGGGGAUGACGUCAAGUCAUCAUGGCCCUUACGGCCAGGGCUACACACGUGCUACAAUGGCAUAUACAAAGAGAAGCGACCUCGCGAGAGCAAGCGGACCUCAUAAAGUAUGUCGUAGUCCGGAUUGGAGUCUGCAACUCGACUCCAUGAAGUCGGAAUCGCUAGUAAUCGUAGAUCAGAAUGCUACGGUGAAUACGUUCCCGGGCCU
This 1361-nucleotide ribosomal RNA is filed under the name uncultured bacterium. RNAcentral describes it as "bacterial SSU rRNA". It matches the Rfam family "Bacterial small subunit ribosomal RNA", at positions 28 to 1381 of the family's 1533-position model. The record is from RNAcentral.